RNAcentral lists this long non-coding RNA (783 nucleotides) under Nicotiana benthamiana. RNAcentral's name for it is "long non-coding RNA (NBEN_LNC029776)". Lineage: Eukaryota; Viridiplantae; Streptophyta; Magnoliopsida; Solanales; Solanaceae. The record is from RNAcentral.
UCAGUUUUCAGGUUUCAAAGUUGAAGUUUAGUUCAGAAAGUAACUAUUAGUUUUCCUUAAAUUAAAAAAAAACCAAAAAAAAUAUAUAUAGAAAACAUCAAAAAUCCAAAUAAAAAGUCACUGUUUCAUUGGUUGUGAGAAGCUUCUGGUUUUUCCUUUAGUAUUCUGCUUUCAGUCAGGCCUAGGAGUUGUUGGAAUUGGUUUGGGGUUUGUUCCUGCUGGGUUUUAGUUGUUUCGUGGGUGUUCUGGGUUAUAUACUGGUUGUAAAACUUUCUGGGUUCAUUUAAAGGUCGUUUGAUUUGCUUCGAAAUUGUUUUGGUUGAUUUGUGGUUUUUAAAAAGCAUUCUUUAGAUUUCUUAUAUUUUUCCUGGGCUGCAUUCGAACAUUUGUUGAUUACUGCUGCUGGUUGUGACUGCUAUUGGUUAUCUGUUGCUGCUGACCUCUUUUUCUUCGUACUUGUGCUCAAUUCCAGGUAAAUUUUCAGCUCCAAACUGAUGUAGGAAGGAUUGAAUCAGUCACUAUGAAUGGAUAUAUGAAGAAAUAGCACAAGGCUCCUUUUAAUUUGAUGUUAGCUUGUUUGUAAUCACGUCAGUUUGAUUGUUAAAAUUACAGUAGCAAUAAUAGAUAUUCUUAUGAUUAAAGCACUUUUAUUAUUUGUAAUUAAUGAACUGUAGUGGACUGAUCAAUUUCGAAUUUGUGUUCAUUUGUUCUAAGAAGAGUAAUCUAGUAUAUGGUAGCUUGGCUUUCUGUGUUGAUUGCUUCUUAUGUUGAAAGAUGGUGUAG